UCUGUGGUUUAAGCCACCCAGUCUGAGGUAUUUUGUUAAGGCAGUCUGAGCAGCUAAUUGGCUCUCAGUUUCAAGGCUGAUUUCAAGAGACUCGUGUUGGCCAGGUAUGAGGGGAGCCAGUGCUCAAGUGAAGGAAGGAAAAUUCAGCACAUCCUCCUCGUCUAGCUGAAGGGGGCUCUGGAGCAGCAGGAGGGGCCCAGGGCAAGCCUGGAAUGAAAUCCGUGGCACUCCUGCAGGUUCUGGGGGCGGUGUCCAUGGAAUAUCCUCUGCCACAUAACAAAAUGACUAAUAAUUGCUUGGGGAGCUUUCAGAACUGCCCCAAGGCUUCCUCUAACACUCCACCCACACCUGGUUCAUGCCAGGUUGCUCGAUGCCUUGGUUCGGGAGAAUAGGUGUGGUGUCAUCUCAGGCUUGGUGGCAGCCCAAGGGAAGGGGCAAGUGUUCUGAGUCUCUCUAGAUGACACAGGAGCUGAGGAAAGCUGGAGUGAAUUAUGAGUCACAGCCCGUACCUCACAAGAAAGUUCUGCCCGAUGCCAGAGCUGGGAGCCAUCACCAGUUAUGCAGGGUUGGUGGAGAAGAGCCUCGGGAUAAUUGAACUUCCAGUGGUGGACAUUUUUGAAGGGAUGCUUGGGGCCCCCUCGAGAUGCUGGCCUAGCAGGACCCAGCUGCUCCAUCCUUGGAUGAAACACCCAACAAGUGUUCCCCGGGUGAUGGAUCAGGAAACUCAGACUCCUGGCCAGGGAAAACAGGCCUGACCUGCUCUCUGGAACCCCCAUGUUGCCAUCCAGGAGAUCCUGAAGCCCAAGGCACAAAUGAGGAGGAGCACAAGGAGUGAGAGAAGUCAGUUCAUCCAACCAUUAAGGAUGAGUUCUGUGUGAGAGGGUCAGAGAAGAGGAUUGGGAAGCAGAUGGAGCAGCAUGUCCUGGCCGGGUGCAGUGGCUCAUGCCUGUAAUCCCAGCACUUUGGGAGGCCGAGCUGGGUGGAUCACCUGAAGUCAGGAGUUCAAGACCAGCCUGGCCAACAUGGUGAAACCCCGUCUCUACUAAAAACACAAAAAUUAGCUGGACGUGGUGGCAGGCGCCUGUAAUCCCAGCUACUCAGGAGGCCGAGGCAGGAGGAUCACCUGAGGUCAGGAGUUCAAGAAGAGCCUGGCCAACAUGGAGAAACCCCAUCUCUACCAAAAAUACAAAAAUUAGCCCGGUGUGGAGGUGUGCACCUAUAGCCCCAGCUAUUUGGGAGGCUGAGCCAGGAGAAUCACUUGAACCCGGGCAGCCGAGGUUGCAGUGAGCUGAGAUCAUGCCAGUGCACCCAGCCUGGGCAACAGAGCAAGACUCUGUUUCAAAAAACAAACAAACAAAAAACAGUAUGUCCUGGAAAUCGUUCCUCAUCAGUUCAUAGAUGUCUUCCUCAAUCAUUUUACAGUUGCACAGAACUCCAUUGUGUGACUGCACCACAGUUUAUUCAAUCACUGCCUAUGUAUAGGAAGUGAUAUUGUUUUCAAUAUUUUGCAAUUAUAAACCGUGCCACAAUGAAUAACCUUGUGCAUUUGUAUUUUCACAGUGUCUGGGGGAGUAUCUUCAGGGUAAAUUGCUGGAAGUGGGAG
This 1603-nucleotide long non-coding RNA is filed under the name Homo sapiens (human). RNAcentral describes it as "HSALNT0282436". Lineage: Eukaryota; Metazoa; Chordata; Mammalia; Primates; Hominidae. The record is from RNAcentral.